This 771-nucleotide ribosomal RNA is filed under the name uncultured marine bacterium. Its description in RNAcentral is "bacterial SSU rRNA". It matches the Rfam family "Bacterial small subunit ribosomal RNA", at positions 94 to 880 of the family's 1533-position model. The record is from RNAcentral.
AGUGGCGAACGGGUGAGUAACACGUGAGAAACCUGCCCUAGAGACCGGGACAACCGUUGGAAACGGCGGCUAAUACCGGAUGCCUUCACAUGGUCGCAUGGCCGAGUGAAGAAAUGCUCAGGUGCUCUAGGAGGGUCUCGCUGCCUAUCAGCUAGUUGGUGAGGUAAUGGCUCACCAAGGCAUCGACGGGUAGCUGGUCUGAGAGGACGAUCAGCCACACUGGGACUGAGACACGGCCCAGACUCCUACGGGAGGCAGCAGUAGGGAAUCUUGCGCAAUGGGGGCAACCCUGACGCAGCAACGCCGCGUGUGGGAUGACGGCUUUCGGGUUGUAAACCACUUUCAGUGAUGACGAAAAUGACGGUAAUCACAGAAGAAGGUCCGGCCAACUACGUGCCAGCAGCCGCGGUAACACGUAGGGACCGAGCGUUGUCCGGAUUUAUUGGGCGUAAAGAGCUCGUAGGCGGUUCUGUAAGUCGGAUGUGAAAACUCAGGGCUCAACCCUGAGACGCCAUCUGAUACUGCAGUGACUAGAGUCCGGUAGAGGAAGAUGGAAUUCCUGGUGUAGCGGUGGAAUGCGCAGAUAUCAGGAGGAACACCAAUGGCGAAGGCAGUCUUCUGGGCCGGUACUGACGCUGAGGAGCGAAAGCAUGGGGAGCAAACAGGAUUAGAUACCCUGGUAGUCCAUGCCGUAAACGUUGGGCACUAAGUGUGGGGUCUUCUAACGGAUUCCGUGCCGUAGCUAACGCAUUAAGUGCCCCGCCUGGGGAG